This 872-nucleotide long non-coding RNA is filed under the name Marmota monax (woodchuck). The record is from RNAcentral. Lineage: Eukaryota; Metazoa; Chordata; Mammalia; Rodentia; Sciuridae.
UGUCAUUAAGUGAAAUAAAGAUUCUAACGAGAGAGCAUUUCCUCAGGGAUUCUUUAUAAAUAAUUUAGCUUAGUCUUAAAAGAGAUACAAUUUACUUUUUAAUUUUUAUUCAAUAUUUGGAAUUAAAGUUUUACAUUUACAUGCAUUUUAACUAUUUAUAUAGUAAUUAGUAUUCCAAUUAUUUGUUGGAGUCAAUUAAAAAACAUGUUUUUUUUCUGAACAUUUGCCCACUUUCCUUAGUCAACAUUUUCCAUUUCUCUCGACUAUAACUAUCUAACCUACAGAGAGACUAAGCAGCAUAAAAUCAACAUUCUCUCUUGGGCUAAUAUCCACCUGUGUACUCCUUUUAUUUUAGCAGUUAUUAAAGACAGUAACUCAAACAGGGUAAAAAACAAGAAAUCAGAUUUCUUUCCUUUACCUGAGAAUCUCCAGUAAGACGUAAGAGCAACUCUAGAUUUAGUAGAAAGAAAAGAAUUAUGGAUUUUUUUGGCAAAAUUUUUCUUUUAUAUAUAUUUAUAUUUUCAUAUAUAUAUAUAUGAAAUAUAUAUAUAUAUAUUACCUAUUUCUUUGUAAGUCAGAAGCCAAGUGUUGAGCACCAGUUUUCAGCAAGGGUUAGACAUUCCAUAUAUUAUCUUAUUUCAUAAUCUUUUCCACCCUGGACAUGCACAUACACAUGUAGAGGCAAGUGGGCAGGCACACACACACACACACACACACACACAUACUUAUGAAAGCAAGAAAGAAAGCCAUAGCAUGAACCUGUAUUUGCACUACCACAAGACUCUUUAGACAAGUGGAGUUCCACUUUCAUCUUGAUAUAGUCAGCUAGAACAAAUAUAAAAGUUGCCACAGUCCCUUUUCUUUAAAAAAUU